CACCCUCGCUCUCACCAUCGCGCUCAAUAUCUUUUCAGCCUCGCGCUCUUUCCUCCCGGUGCUAUCACCACAGUUUUCCCUAACCAUCGCCAUUGUUGCUCUCCCUCUCACAAACCUCUGUCUUCUUCCCCUUCUCCUUCACCUCUCUUCUUUUUCCUUCUUCGUGUCGCCGCCACCAUGUUGCACCACCGCCUCCCUCCUCUUCAUUCUUUAUCUUUGUAGUGAUGGUGAACAAUAUAAUGCUUCUUACCUCCUUUUAUAUUUCACCUCAACAUAUUUGAAGAAAAAAUUGAUUUUUAGUGAACCCUAACUCGCAGGUUCCGUCGUUGUGGCACUGGUCACCACAACAAGGUGCUCGAUCUUCUUUCCUCUUGGUAGAUUCAUUGCUGGCAGUUUGGCCACGAAGAACUUACAAGACAUGGAAAAAUCUUGGUCCAUCAUCGAUAAUUAAGAGUGUUUGAGACUUGGGUAUCUGGUCAUGCACACAUGGGUUCAGGUUUCAACUCCUCAACAUCGCACCUCCCAACACCUCCGUUCUAGCAAGCCGAAGAGGUUUGCAUGGAUUGGUCUCAGGCAAAGAUGAAUUGGGCAAAGCCCAUAGCAAAGUUAUAGAACGUACAAGAAAGAAAAACAAGGAACAAUCUAAAACAUGUGCGGCAAUAGUGAGUAUCCGCUUCGGUCACAAAUGCCAUCACCGAUGAGCAUGCAAAAGGGAUUAGCGUGAUUGUGAAGGGAGAAAGGAGCCAUGUGACGGCAACACCACCGUGGUGGCGUGACACAGAGCGUGAAUAGGGGAAAGGAGAUCAUUUAGAACCGUGGUGGUGUGGGAACUCUGAUUUGGAGAUCGUUUUGGUCGUGAAAGAGUGAAAAAGAAGACAAUAAGGUGAGGAGGAAAUAAGCCGCAGGAAAUCGCUUCAACAUCUGAGUGCGACGCCAGUGUCUGUGCCGUCUUGCAGUAUUUGUACAAAUGGUGCACACAACAUGAUUAUACGACAAGAAAUAAUUUGUUACAGUGGCGGCAACUUCCAAUGCAACCACUGGCUGAGAAACCAAGCAAAGCAUGCUCAACUGAAGGAACAGGUAGGAAAGCCUACAGAAUAGAGUAGAACCGUCUAGAUUGCACCUUCUAUGUGUUUUACUUUUUCUUAUUAGUUUAUUAUUAUUUUUAUUCACAAUUUUAGUAUUACUAUUUCAUGUUUUUCAUGUAUAAGUGUUACUUGAACUUAUUGAAUGGAAAAUGAUACAUAAUUUAAUUUA
Long non-coding RNA from Glycine soja, 1257 nucleotides. RefSeq lists it as uncharacterized. The transcript has 5 exons. The record is from RefSeq and is a predicted model, not a curated record. Lineage: Eukaryota; Viridiplantae; Streptophyta; Magnoliopsida; Fabales; Fabaceae.